GGCAAAGAGAGAACAGCGAAAAGAUAACGUGCUAAUUUUUUCCUUCUAGAGACAGAAGCACAUCGGGGUCAUGAAAUUAUACCCUUUUUAUGGUGUUGCUGUCAUUUCUGCACUUCAACAAGGAGAAAGCAGGGUAUAGGGGAAAGCUCCUAGUCCAUGGAAUCCAAGUCUCAGCUGUGGAAGAGUACAAGGCCACGAUGAAAGGAACGGGAAAUGGCAAAUGGACAGAAGAAACAGAGACG
RNAcentral lists this long non-coding RNA (242 nucleotides) under Fukomys damarensis (Damara mole-rat). RNAcentral's name for it is "lncRNA (ENSFDAG00000030183.1)". Lineage: Eukaryota; Metazoa; Chordata; Mammalia; Rodentia; Bathyergidae. The record is from RNAcentral.